Long non-coding RNA from Dermacentor albipictus, 421 nucleotides. RefSeq lists it as uncharacterized. Lineage: Eukaryota; Metazoa; Arthropoda; Arachnida; Ixodida; Ixodidae. The record is from RefSeq and is a predicted model, not a curated record.
AGCCGUUGCUAGAAGAUUUUGGGCACGUAUGGUCGAGACCAGGUCCUACUGCCAAUAUUUUGGUGUCGCGCCGUUCCUACAUAACGCAGGCUGCAGAGAGUGGCAUCUAAGCUCGCUAUUCAAGGGCUGAAGCCAGCAGUUAGCGGCAAUGCUUGCAACUGCACUGUGCUCCUGUGCUUCAACAUCAAUCAUACGAGUGUAUGGUACAACCAGUGCAUAACGAGAGUUCGAUACAUUACACUCGCCUGAACUUGACCAAGGAGCACAUGAAUGCAGCGGACAAGGCCAUGGCUUGUGCUUGGAAGGUUGUUGGUAACUCCACUACGUACAUUCAAGCGCUCGACGAUGCUGCUGCAUUUGUACGCCACGCUGCUUUGAGCUUUGGGUGGACCUGAACGAAUAAAUUCGCGCGUAGAAAGUA